This 70-nucleotide transfer RNA is filed under the name Elateroides dermestoides (large timberworm). Its description in RNAcentral is "Hylecoetus dermestoides (large timberworm) tRNA-Lys". The record is from RNAcentral. Lineage: Eukaryota; Metazoa; Arthropoda; Insecta; Coleoptera; Lymexylidae.
CAUUAAAUGUCUGAAAGUAAGAAAUGGCCUCUUAAGCCACAUUAUAGUAAUUAACGACUACUUUUAAUGG